Molecule: long non-coding RNA, 582 nt
Organism: Erigeron canadensis
Lineage: Eukaryota; Viridiplantae; Streptophyta; Magnoliopsida; Asterales; Asteraceae
Exons: 3
Source: RefSeq, a predicted model, not a curated record
CUCCACUGUCAUAUACAUACAUAUAUACCUUCGAUCGAUCGAUCUCUUUUCUCAUUUAAUUCAAGGCUUUUAAACACAUCAAAUUAAGAGAAAAUGAGUAGCGGAGAUUGGAUGUGUGGUGCAUGUCAACACUCAAAUUUCAAGAAACGCGACGUUUGUCAGAAAUGUCAGUGUCCCAAAUUUGCAUCACCGGAUGAGAUUUCAACUCAUGCAAACAAAACAAAGGUGUUGGCGGGCGACUGGUAUUGUUGUUGUGAGGCGCACAACUUUGCUAACCGAACGGAGUGUUAUAGAUGUGGCACACACAAAGACUAUAUCAUGAUGAUGACAUUCGCCACGUCUAGUUAUGCUUAUGAUGUUAGCACUCUUCCAGGAGGGAAAAUUGGCGAUUGGAUGUGUAAUAGGUGUGGAGGACAUAACUUUGCAAGUAAGGUGGAAUGCUAUAGAUGCAAAUGGCCAAGAGAAUAGGAGUAACUAUAAAUUGUGUGCAAAUUUCUUUGUGCUCCUACAAUGCUAUAUGUAAUUUUGUUCUUCCCGUGAUGAUGAUCAAAGAAAUUAUGUAAGAUUUACUUAUCUUUAGCA